This 2310-nucleotide long non-coding RNA is filed under the name Gossypium barbadense (sea-island cotton). RNAcentral describes it as "long non-coding RNA (GBAR_LNC008691)". The record is from RNAcentral. Lineage: Eukaryota; Viridiplantae; Streptophyta; Magnoliopsida; Malvales; Malvaceae.
AGAUAUCAUCAUUUUUCUUCAGCAAAAACGCCAUGGGAGGUCUGAAAGCUGCUGGUUUUUCAUACUUUGACAUAUGUGAGUUCAAUUCUUGCCCUUUUCUUUGAGAUUUUUAUGUUUUUGUGACUUUUACAAUUAGGUCCAAGUGUUUAAUUCAUUAGUUUUUGAUUUUAUGAACAAAAUUAAAAGCUAUCAUUGAUAAUUGUUAGCUGUUUAUGAUGAAAUAAAAUGAAUUUUAAGCUUUGAUUUUGUUGUUUGAUGAUUUUAUCAAGUAAUUUCAAUAGAAAUUGAUUUUAGGACCUAAUUGUGAAAAAGUUGUGAAUUAAGGUUUAGUGUUAAAAUUCUGAUUUUCAAAGGUUGUGUAAUAGUUUAGAAUGAUGGAAUAAAAUGUUAAUUGAGAAAAAUUAUCUUAAUAGAUGGGCUAAUUGAGCAAGGACUGAAUUGUAUGACCUGUGAAAUUUAGAGGAAAAAUGGUAAUAAACAUCUUGAACUAAAACAAUAUUGGACAGCAGCAGUAGACUAACUUUGAAAAAUCACCAUAAAUUGUAGAAAUAAAAUUAGAAGAUGAAUAAAAUAUUAAAUUAAAGCUUAUUGAGUCUAGUUUUUCAUAGAAGAAACGGUGUAAGCAAUUGAUUUGUAAAUUAUGAGAUAUAAUGAAUUUUGUGAGACAAUGAUAGAAUGAAUUCGGGUUCUCCUGUUUUGACUUUGGAAAAUCACUAAAAAUUGGAGAAAAUUAACUAGAGUCUCAAAUUUAUAUGCUUAGAAUUCUUAAUGAGUCUAUUUUCAAUAUAAAUCAAUGGGAACAUUAUCCGAGUUUUAUACUAUGAUAUAAUUAAUUUUUAGUGAAGAGACGUCAGAACUGUGGAUAGUGAAAUAGGGGAAACUUAAAUGAAUAAACUGUACUAAUUGGCUAAACCAAAAAUUCUGAAAAUUUUGUGGUGGAAUGAUAUGUGAGUCUAGUUUCAGGGAAAAUUUACGGAUCUUAAUUUUGAGCUCUGUAGCUCGAAUUAUAAAUAAUUGAGUGACUAUGACUCGUGUGAACAGCUUGAUGUGAGUAUUAAUAAGUAAAUUGUGAAAUCGUACUUACAAGAAUGUUAUAUACAUUAAGGAUGUGGAAUGGAGAGGAGGAGGAGGAAAAAUAUAUAUGAAUAUUCAGUUAGCAUAGCUAAUUUGCAUGUUUUAAGCUCAUGGACUAAAUUGAAUAAAAGUAAAACUUUAGGGGUAAUUUUGUAAAAAUGUCAAAAAUGACUAAAUUGAAGGGAAUAAAUUGUUUCAUUAUCUAAAUUAAUAAAUUGAAUGAAAUUAUCAAUUUAAGAUUGGGUGAAAUUUGGAAAAAUGGUAAAUUACCAAAUGCCCCUAAAUCUUGGUAUUUCUGCAAUUUAGUCAGGUAGGUUCGGAUACCCUGAAUGAGCAUGUAAAUAUAACAAUUUAAGUAUUGUAUCGUAUUUUAUAUGAUAUUUUGAAUUGAAUAUAUGAAAAGGAUGUUACAUGAAACAUGAAACAUGAAUACUAAAUAAUAUAAAUUAAUUGAAAUUAUUCUGAAAAUUUCGGUAAUGCCUCGUAUCCUAUCCCGGUCUCAGGUACAGGUAUGGGGUAUUACAAUUGUGGUAUCAAUAUUGGAUUAUUUUUAUAUGUAUAAAUUUUAUAUUUGAAAUGAAUUGAUAUGAUUAAGGUUUAUAUGAGCUUACUAAGCAUUCGUUGCUUAUGUAGUUGUUUUCCUUUACUUUUCAGAUUAUUGGAGGCUUGAUCGGGUUGAAAAUUUUGUCGGAUUUAUAUCACACUAUCCAUCAGUUCUAUUGGUACUUUAAGAUGUUUUGAUUUUAAUUAUAGUGGCAUGUAUAAGUAUUCUGAUUAAUAUUGGCCUAUAUGAGUUUUGUUAAUAUGAGCCACUUAUUUGGCUUGUGUUUUGGCACAUUUUGGUUUGUGUAUAUUUGCCUUUUAUGGUUAAGGUGUGGGUUGGUUUAUGAUUGUAUAGUGAAAGGUAAAAUGUUAGCUAAAUGUGCAUUUAUAUACAUGUGUUUUGGUAUGUUUUGGUAGGUAGGUGACUUGGUUUGAAAUAAUGCAAAUUAGCUUGGUGAACCAUAGGUACAAUUUUGCAAAUAAGUUAGUUAUACAUAUGAGUAUUCUGAAUACAUGAAUACACAUGUUAUAAUUUGUCAUCUGAGGUGUUUGAAGGAAUAAUGGUUGUAUGUGAAGAUAUUAUAUAUAUUUAAGGCUUGAUUUUUACUUCUUUUGGAUACUUUAAUAUGGUUUGUUUACAUGUAUGAUGAUAACUGUAGAUACAUGCCUUGUUGAGUGAGAAAAAAAGCUUAU